GGAAAACUCAGCCAUGUGGAAGCAAGACAACCAAUAUAAAACCGUCACUGUGUACUCCCCAUACAGAGAGAAGGUUAAGAGCAACAAGAUGGGAGGCAGCUGCAUGGAACCUGUCCCACUGAGGAAGUAAAACAGGAAUCCAAAAUAAAACGUUUGCUGGGAAUUAUAAAGAAUUUCAUUGAGAAAGUAAAAAAGAAAAAUCUAUGCAAAGGAAGUGAUUCUGUUGUUUAAUGCCAUCACCUGUCAUUCUGUCUCUUACCAUGGCUGGCUUGGCUAGUGGCACCACGAACAGAUCCCUACAGACCCCAACACCAAGAAAACCCUACCUGAUGGACUGGACUUCUGCCUGGAUUGGAGUUUGAUCAUGCCUCCAUAUGGGUGUUUACCAGGCGUAUGCAUUGAACCUGAGUUUGUCUCUUCAAUACAAGGAAAAUCUCUGCCGCUUAGUGAUUUUCCAAGAAACAUGAGCUUCUGCCUUUCAAUGAGGAAGAUACUCAGAAGUCAUGUUCGAGCACUCCGGAAAAUGUCCUUGGAGUUUCAACAUUUCUUUGGUCUUCCACAUUUCAUUUUGUCCUGAUUAAAGAGGAAGCCAGUUGCUGUUUGUGCAAGAUGCCGUGCUGGAACCUGCCCUGUGGAGAGGCAUACAUGGUGAAAAACCAGGGAAGGCCUCUGAGCAACAGCUCUUGAGAAACUAAAGCCCUAAACCCAUCAACUUGCAAAGAACUGCAUCCUGCCACCAACUGCGUGAGUGAGGUCAGGUGGAUCUUUCCCUGGUCCAGCCUUGAGAUGACUGCAGUCCCAGACAACACCUUGACUGCUGCCUUGUGAUGCAGCUGGCGCCAAGCAGUGCCAAUUCCUGGCCCUCAAAAACCAUGAGAUAAUAGUGCUGUUGUUGUAAGUCACCCAAGUUUGGGGUAAUUUGUUAUCUAGCAGUAGAUAGCCAAUACAUCAAACUAGAAACAUUCUCCAUCAUUGAUUGGAAGACUUUGGGUUUUUAAAAAGGGUAAACACACAUAUACACAGCUUAUUAUAUUUCCUUCCACAUUUAUUUUGGAGGGGAAAUGUUUUACUUCUUAUCCCACCGCUUUGCCCUUUCUAAAAGAAUGUGUUAGGAUUACUGUGAUUCAAAUGGUAAAAAUUUUCCCAGUGAAAUAAAGACUUUAUACCAACUGGAUUUCUUGCUUAGAAAGCUGUGUUUUCUCCACUAAUAUCUUGAAUUUGAUAUUUUCAACUAUCUCUAUUGAAUUCACUUGUAAAUGAAUUGCGUUUUUCCCUCUAUUAUGAACUGAAUGUUUGUAUCUCUUCAAAAUUCAUAUGUUGAGGCUGUAAUUCCCAG
RNAcentral lists this long non-coding RNA (1336 nucleotides) under Homo sapiens (human). RNAcentral's name for it is "HSALNT0084865". The record is from RNAcentral. Lineage: Eukaryota; Metazoa; Chordata; Mammalia; Primates; Hominidae.